CGCGUAGGCGGUUUUGUAAGUCGGAUGUGAAAUCCCCGGGCUUAACCUGGGAACUGCAUUCGAUACUGCAUAACUAGAGUAUGGUAGAGGGAAGUGGAAUUCCGGGUGUAGCGGUGGAAUGCGUAGAUAUCCGGAGGAACACCAGUGGCGAAGGCGACUUCCUGGGCCAAUACUGACGCUGAGGUGCGAAAGCGUGGGGAGCAAACA
Molecule: ribosomal RNA, 207 nt
Filed under: uncultured bacterium
Lineage: Bacteria
Description: partial 16S ribosomal RNA
Rfam family: Bacterial small subunit ribosomal RNA
Source: RNAcentral